UACGUAGGGUGCAAGCGUUGUUCGGAAUCACUGGGCGUAAAGGGCGUGUAGGCGGUCAGGUAAGUGGAAUGUGAAAUCCCUCGGCUCACCCGAGGACCUGCAUCCCAAACUGCCUGGCUUGAGUAUGGGAGAGGAUGAGGGAAUUCCUGGUGUAGCGGUGAAAUGCGUAGAUAUCAGGAGGAACACCGGUGGCGAAGGCGGCAUCCUGGACCAAUUCUGACGCUGAGGAGCGAAAGCCAGGGGAGCAAACGGG
Molecule: ribosomal RNA, 253 nt
Filed under: uncultured bacterium
Lineage: Bacteria
Description: partial 16S ribosomal RNA
Rfam family: Bacterial small subunit ribosomal RNA
Source: RNAcentral